AAACAAACAACAAUUUGUUAACGAAAAUUUAAAAGGUUUGAAACCCACACCUGAUUCGUGAUCAAUGAUGUCUAAACACUGACUCCCCGACCAAGGAGUGAAGCUCUCUGAAAUCCAUAAGCAAAACUGUCUCCUAAAAGAAGAUAAAGAAAAAAGAAAAAUAAAAGCAACAAAGGAGAGGGAGAGGAGAACGUGAAAAGAAAGAAAACAGAAAAAAAAUUAAUAAAAAUAAAACUAUAUAGUUAUUUUUAAACUUAAAACAUAUCUACUAUUUAACCAAAUAAAAAUAUUUCUCCAAAACACACACAAGGAUUCAAACACGCAUCCCAGAGACACACUAACACACAACUAACCACCAGACCAGCAGACCUAUUCUAUCACUUAAACGUGCAACUAAACACAAUAGCAUAACAUACUCAUUGACCCUAACCACAAAACUAAAAAC
Molecule: long non-coding RNA, 445 nt
Filed under: Gossypium raimondii (Peruvian cotton)
Lineage: Eukaryota; Viridiplantae; Streptophyta; Magnoliopsida; Malvales; Malvaceae
Description: long non-coding RNA (GRAI_LNC002889)
Source: RNAcentral